CAGCACCUUGGCGGAGUCGGUUGCCGGGAUUGCCUUUGAUACCCAGCAGGUGAAAGCACGUAAAAAAAAUGUCCCUUUACAGAGGCAGGUUUGCCGCGGACGAAUACAUAACUUCUGCAUGCGUGCUUCUGUCCACAAUGGCGGCGCGCGAGGACGCUAUCACAAGUGUUAGGAGGAUUUUAAUGCCUUCACAUUUGCCGUCCCUACAGAGGUAUCUAUUUCACUGGGCUUGUUAGGGGAGUUUAUUUUAGAAAUUUAAUUUUUUUUUUUUUGUCCACAUGAAAACGUGUCCUGGGCGCAUUGUAGCUCGUGGUAACAUGUGUUUACUGCACGCCGAGGGCUGUGAAUACGAGUGACGGCGGAAAAAAAAGGCAAAUCGUGAAUUUCUAAUCAUGAUCAUACAAAUUGAUUCUUUCGCACUUGUCACCCUCUGAGCGGGACAAGGAAAGUCACCAGGUAGAGCAUCUAGAGAGCUCGUCGGAGGUCAGCGCAUGUGGUGUUCACUCCUUCCCUCCUUCUCUCUCGCCCUCUCUCUCUCUUUCACACGAACGCACGGAUGCACGCACACACUCUCAUGCGCCAGAUACAUUCCCAUUCACUUACACAUACGCACAUUACAGACACAGACAGACAGAUAGACAGGCAGACAGACAGACGGACAGACAGACACAUGCAAACAUACAUUCACGUUCCAUUGCAUACACACAGGCUACGUUGCCCAAUCGUAAUGCAUAAUCGUGGGGCCCGUGGAAAGUUCAUCUCGCCAACCAGCAGAAAUAAUUGCUGCUGCUGCUGCUGAUGAUGAUGAUGAUCAAGACAUCUGUAGACCUUUAGGACCUUCAUAAUAGCGAAGCAGAGAGGUCAGAGUACACUGCAAUGAUUGUAUGACCCUCUUACCGACGAACUACACAAAGAAACUUUUAAUGCAGUAGAUAGAGGAGGCAGUCGAUGGAAGAAUAGACAACUGUAGAAACCCCAAGGCCCGCAGAUAAGCCCAACGUUCCACACAAUGGCAAAGAAGCGUGUGUCUAUAAUAGGCACGACACUCAGGUCAACUCACAAAACUAAACUACAGAAAUAGUUCUCCCACAACCCUCCCCAAGGCCUGUACGUCAAGGGACACCACUCCAAUAUAAGGGGAGGCAACGACUCAACGAAAGGAGAGGAAUGAGAUUCGCUUUCCACAUGGUCAGCCAUGGACACGGGAACUACUUACUGUCUCUGACUCCCUCGUACAGAGCUCGGCACUGCGCUGCAGACUUCCACCCGUCCAGCUAGCCGAUGUGCUCAAGCUUGUUCAGGGUACAGCCAGCUGUCUACCUGUCCACCCGCUACCCGCCACUGUAAAACAUUUGAUACCCGGGUGCGGCCAUGCAAACACAGGCCGGCACAAAUGGGCUUCGACCAGCAUACCUGCCGGUUAAAAGAAAGAAGGAAAAAAGAAACUGGCAAAGAAACUGAAUUUCGUAGACAAGUGUUUAUAGCCUUUGAUCUUCGAUAAGCUGUUGCUAAGUGCAAGUGUCCCUGAGUAUCUCCUCGUGUUAGGCGCGCGCGAUGACGUUUGUGGGCGUGUUUGCUAUUGAACUUUUUUACGUCUGACUCGACAGGAAGGAAUAAAAAAAAGAAAGAAGGAUAGAGGGAGCGGUGAAAAAUAAAGUCAAGAAAGAGAAAAAAAAAAGAAAAAAAAAAGAAGAAAAAAACAAAAAACGAGAGAAAGAAAUAAAAA
This is a long non-coding RNA of Pomacea canaliculata, 1726 nucleotides long. RefSeq lists it as uncharacterized. The transcript is spliced from 2 exons. The record is from RefSeq and is a predicted model, not a curated record. Lineage: Eukaryota; Metazoa; Mollusca; Gastropoda; Architaenioglossa; Ampullariidae.